UCCGUAGGUGAACCUGCGGAGGGAUCAUUACUGAGUUUACGCUCUACAACCCUUUGUGAACAUACCUACAACUGGUUGCUUCGGCGGGUAGGGUCUCCGCGACCCUCCCGGCCUCCCGCCUCCGGGCGGGUCGGCGCCCGCCGGAGGAUAACCAAACUYUGAUUUAACGACGUUUYUUYUGAGUGGUACAAGCAAAUAAUCAAAACUUUUAACAACGGAUCUCUUGGUUCUGGCAUCGAUGAAGAACGCAGCGAAAUGCGAUAAGUAAUGUGAAUUGCAGAAUUCAGUGAAUCAUCGAAUCUUUGAACGCACAUUGCGCCCGCCAGCAUUCUGGCGGGCAUGCCUGUUCGAGCGUCAUUUCAACCCUCAAGCUYUGCUUGGUGUUGGGGCCCUACAGCCGAUGUAGGCCCUCAAAGGUAGUGGCGGACCCUCCCGGAGCCUCCUUUGCGUAGUAACUUUACGUCUCGCACUGGGAUCCGGAGGGACUCUUGCCGUAAMWCCCCCCAAUUUUCCAAAGGUUGACCUCGGAUCAGGUAGGAAUACCCGCUGAACUUAAGCUUAAUAAGCGGAGGA
Molecule: ribosomal RNA, 573 nt
Filed under: Colletotrichum ricini
Lineage: Eukaryota; Fungi; Ascomycota; Sordariomycetes; Glomerellales; Glomerellaceae
Description: eukaryotic LSU rRNA
Rfam family: 5.8S ribosomal RNA (bases 204-357)
Source: RNAcentral